RNAcentral lists this ribosomal RNA (385 nucleotides) under Salmonella enterica subsp. enterica serovar Duesseldorf. Its description in RNAcentral is "partial 23S ribosomal RNA". It matches the Rfam family "Bacterial large subunit ribosomal RNA", at positions 137 to 560 of the family's 2925-position model. Lineage: Bacteria; Pseudomonadati; Pseudomonadota; Gammaproteobacteria; Enterobacterales; Enterobacteriaceae. The record is from RNAcentral.
GACUCGUCACACUAUCAUUAACUGAAUCCAUAGGUUAAUGAGGCGAACCGGGGGAACUGAAACAUCUAAGUACCCCGAGGAAAAGAAAUCAACCGAGAUUCCCCCAGUAGCGGCGAGCGAACGGGGAGGAGCCCAGAGCCUGAAUCAGCAUGUGUGUUAGUGGAAGCGUCUGGAAAGGCGCGCGAUACAGGGUGACAGCCCCGUACACAAAAGCGCAUGUGCUGUGAGCUCGAUGAGUAGGGCGGGACACGUGGUAUCCUGUCUGAAUAUGGGGGGACCAUCCUCCAAGGCUAAAUACUCCUGACUGACCGAUAGUGAACCAGUACCGUGAGGGAAAGGCGAAAAGAACCCCGGCGAGGGGAGUGAAAAAGAACCUGAAACCGUG